GGAGCUGUGGGUGAGUGGUUUAAACCAGGACAUUGCUAAUGUCCCGUUCGGGUAAAACUGAACCGUCGGUUCGAAUCCGACCGGCUCCGCCA
RNAcentral lists this transfer RNA (92 nucleotides) under Planctomycetota bacterium. RNAcentral's name for it is "Planctomycetes bacterium (soil metagenome) tRNA-Ser". It matches the Rfam family "tRNA". From Rfam's summary of the family: Transfer RNA (tRNA) molecules are approximately 80 nucleotides in length. Their secondary structure includes four short double-helical elements and three loops (D, anti-codon, and T loops). The record is from RNAcentral. Lineage: Bacteria; Pseudomonadati; Planctomycetota.